AUUCCAGCUCCAAUAGCGUAUAUUAAAGUUGUUGCAGUUAAAAAGCUCGUAGUCGGAUUUUGGCAUCACGCCGAACUGUCUGCCGAUUGGUAAGUACGGUUUGGCGGGUGCUUCCUUCCGGAGGCUCGUUCCCUUCUUCAUUGAAGGGUUCGUUGGUUCCGGGUCUUUUACUUUGAGAAAAUUAGAGUGUUCAAAGCAGGCCUAUGCUCUGAAUAGGUUAGCAUGGAAUAAUAGAAUAGGACUUUGGUUCUAUCUUGUUGGUUUCUAGUACUGAAGUAAUGAUUGAUAGGGAUAGUUGGGGGUGCUAGUAUUGAGCGGCCAGAGGUGAAAUUCUUGGAUUCGCUCAAGACUAACUUAUGCGAAAGCAUUCACCAAGGAUGUCUUCAUUA
This 389-nucleotide ribosomal RNA is filed under the name Picozoa sp. Its description in RNAcentral is "partial small subunit ribosomal RNA". It matches the Rfam family "Eukaryotic small subunit ribosomal RNA", at positions 582 to 975 of the family's 1831-position model. Lineage: Eukaryota; Picozoa. The record is from RNAcentral.